Molecule: unclassified non-coding RNA, 1372 nt
Filed under: Hevea brasiliensis (rubber tree)
Lineage: Eukaryota; Viridiplantae; Streptophyta; Magnoliopsida; Malpighiales; Euphorbiaceae
Source: RNAcentral
CAAAGACUCCCAUGCCUUUCUUGGUUGGACUAAGCCAACUUUUCAUCGCUUCUUGCUUGGUUCAUUUCUUCUUUCUUGGUUGGACUAAGCCAACCGGCCUCUUUCCUACAAGUCUUCUUUCGCAGUCUCAACGACGGUGGAGGGCUAUAGAUAAGACUGUCCCAGUUAGGGAUCCGAGAUAGAUGUCCUUCCCUCCUAGAAGUGCUUCUUGAUUCUCCCCUCCGCUUGCUUUGAGAUCCUGUGUAAGUUGAAGUUUAAAGAAGCGGAACUAUUAGUUUUAUAUAAACUCGAUGAAUAUACAAGAACUUCUUUCGUCUUUCAUUCAAAGCGACCCCUUGCUUCAAUUUCCGCUGCUGUCGGUAUUGGAAUAAUAUUCAUUUUCGCGCUCCACAAAUGGAGUCUUCCUUCACGGGCCCAAGACCAAGUAGCCCGUCUCGUUUCAGAGUAUGCCCAGGAGCUGGAUAUUCAAAAUCUUCCUCUCUUUACUCCGGANCGGAACAGUAUCUAGACGAGAUAGCCACUCAACUAGAGUUCAAAUGGAUUCAUCAUGGUAUCGAAAAACUGCCCGUGGGUCACUCCUGGACUGAACUGGCACAAUCUGUCAUUUCGACUAUAAAUACGGAUUUGACAGAUCUAUCCACUCUCACCUAUGUGCAUGCCCUCUUAUUGGAAGGCGGGUGCGGGUAUAACCCCAUUAUGACAAAAAGUAUCGAAAUAAUAAGCAUGUGGGGCGCUAUUUCGUAAUACUUUCUUUCUCUUUUUUUUCGGUAUGACGCUCCGCGAGCAAGGGGCGAUAGAAGCAAGUGGGCUGUGGUGAUGUCAGAAUUUGCACCUAUUUGUAUCUAUUUAGUGAUCAGUCCGCUAGUUUCUUUGAUCCCACUCGGUCUUCCUUUUCCAUUUGCUUCCAAUAGUUCGACUUAUCCAGAAAAAUUGUCGGCCUACGAAUGUGGUUUCGAUCCUUCCGGUGAUGCCAGAAGUCGUUUCGAUAUACGAUUUUAUCUUGUUUCAAUUUUAUUUAUUAUCUUUGAUCUGGAAGUAACCUUUUUCUUUCCUUGGGCAGUAUCUCUCAACAAGAUUGAUCUGUUUGGAUUUUGGUCCAUGAUGGCCUUUUUAUUGAUUUUGACGAUUGGAUUUCUCUAUGAAUGGAAAAGGGGUGCUUUGGAUUGGGAGUAAUCACUAGUGAUAGGGAAAAAAUCGGGGGGAAGGACAAAGGAAAGAGCGAUGCCUACAUUAAAUCAAUUGAUUCGUCAUGGUAGAGAAGAAAAACGGCGCACGGACCGUACUCGAGCUUUGGAUCAAUGUCCCCAGAAGCAAGGAGUAUGCCUGCGUGUUUCAACGAGAACACCGAAAAAACCUAAUUCAGCUCUACGCG